UACACAACACUAUGCAAAGCGAAUCACAAAUCGAUAACGUCAAACAAUCGGAACUUCUAACUCAUGAACAAAAUAAACAGCUGUAACAACUAUGAACAUAUCGGGCCCUGGUUUCGGACCCAGCGUACCCGCCCUACCAUGAGACGAUCACCUACACUCGUCUCCCUCAUUUGCCAUUAGAUGGCCAUCAGCCUGUGGCGGCUGUAAUGCCAACUCUCCCCAUCAAAGAAAAUUUAGACGGACAUUUCUCUCUUCAGAUACGGCAUGUUAUCUUCAAGCUGUUAUUGAUAAUUUCGUACUCGCGAACAUUUCCGGCGUUUUAAGCCAGGUGCAUACGAUAUUCUUAUAUUUAGAAUAAUGGAUAUAAGUUUGAAAUUUAAAUUUUCUUCCAUCUUUCAACUUCGAUUCAACAGUUAUCUAUAACGCUUUGCAUCAUUUCAUAUUUCUAACAAUU
Drosophila virilis is the source of this 454-nucleotide long non-coding RNA. RefSeq lists it as uncharacterized. NCBI's taxonomy places the organism in Eukaryota, Metazoa, Arthropoda, Insecta, Diptera, Drosophilidae. The record is from RefSeq and is a predicted model, not a curated record.